This 274-nucleotide ribosomal RNA is filed under the name uncultured bacterium. RNAcentral's name for it is "partial 16S ribosomal RNA". It matches the Rfam family "Bacterial small subunit ribosomal RNA", at positions 523 to 796 of the family's 1533-position model. The record is from RNAcentral.
AUACGAAGGGGGCAAGCGUUGUUCGGAAUAACUGGGCGUAAAGCGCACGUAGGCGGAAUGUUAAGUUAGAGGUGAAAUCCCAGGGCUCAACCCUGGAACUGCCUUUAAUACUGGCAAUCUAGAGACCGAGAGAGGUGAGUGGAAUUCCGAGUGUAGCGGUGAAAUUCGUAGAUAUUCGGAGGAAAACCAGUGGCGAAGGCGGCUCACUGGCUCGGUACUGACGCUGAGGUGCGAAAGCGUGGGGAGCAAACAGGAUUAGAAACCCUAGUAGUCC